UGCAAGUCGGACGGUAGCACAGAGAGCUUGCUCUUGGGUGACGAGUGGCGGACGGGUGAGUAAUGUCUGGGGAUCUGCCCGAUAGAGGGGGAUAACCACUGGAAACGGUGGCUAAUACCGCAUAACGUCGCAAGACCAAAGAGGGGGACCUUCGGGCCUCUCACUAUCGGAUGAACCCAGAUGGGAUUAGCUAGUAGGCGGGGUAAUGGCCCACCUAGGCGACGAUCCCUAGCUGGUCUGAGAGGAUGACCAGCCACACUGGAACUGAGACACGGUCCAGACUCCUACGGGAGGCAGCAGUGGGGAAUAUUGCACAAUGGGCGCAAGCCUGAUGCAGCCAUGCCGCGUGUAUGAAGAAGGCCUUCGGGUUGUAAAGUACUUUCAGCGGGGAGGAAGGCGACGGGGUUAAUAACCCCGUCGAUUGACGUUACCCGCAGAAGAAGCACCGGCUAACUCCGUGCCAGCAGCCGCGGUAAUACGGAGGGUGCAAGCGUUAAUCGGAAUUACUGGGCGUAAAGCGCACGCAGGCGGUCUGUUAAGUCAGAUGUGAAAUCCCCGGGCUUAACCUGGGAACUGCAUUUGAAACUGGCAGGCUUGAGUCUUGUAGAGGGGGGUA
RNAcentral lists this ribosomal RNA (616 nucleotides) under Pantoea sp. LS11. Its description in RNAcentral is "bacterial SSU rRNA". It matches the Rfam family "Bacterial small subunit ribosomal RNA", at positions 56 to 663 of the family's 1533-position model. Lineage: Bacteria; Pseudomonadati; Pseudomonadota; Gammaproteobacteria; Enterobacterales; Erwiniaceae. The record is from RNAcentral.